GGAAUAUUGGACAAUGGGGGGAACCCUGAUCCAGCCAUGCCGCGUGUGUGAAGAAGGCCUUUUGGUUGUAAAGCACUUUAAGCGAGGAGGAGGCUACUUUGGUUAAUACCCAGAGAUAGUGGACGUUACUCGCAGAAUAAGCACCGGCUAACUCUGUGCCAGCAGCCGCGGUAAUACAGAGGGUGCGAGCGUUAAUCGGAUUUACUGGGCGUAAAGCGUACGUAGGUGGUCUUUUAAGUCGGAUGUGAAAUCCCUGAGCUUAACUUAGGAAUUGCAUUCGAUACUGGGAGACUAGAGUAUGGGAGAGGAUGGUAGAAUUCCAGGUGUAGCGGUGAAAUGCGUAGAGAUCUGGAGGAAUACCGAUGGCGAAGGCAGCCAUCUGGCCUAAUACUGACACUGAGGUACGAAAGCAUGGGGAGCAAACAGGAUUAGAUACCCCAG
Molecule: ribosomal RNA, 441 nt
Filed under: uncultured Acinetobacter sp.
Lineage: Bacteria; Pseudomonadati; Pseudomonadota; Gammaproteobacteria; Moraxellales; Moraxellaceae
Description: bacterial SSU rRNA
Rfam family: Bacterial small subunit ribosomal RNA
Source: RNAcentral